UGGGGAAUUUUCCGCAGUGGGCGAAAGCCUGACGGAGCAAUGCCGCGUGGAGGUGGAAGGCCUACGGGUCGUCAACUUCUUUUCUCGGAGAAGAAACAAUGACGGUAUCUGAGGAAUAAGCAUCGGCUAACUCUGUGCCAG
RNAcentral lists this ribosomal RNA (141 nucleotides) under uncultured bacterium. Its description in RNAcentral is "partial 16S rRNA". It matches the Rfam family "Bacterial small subunit ribosomal RNA", at positions 355 to 511 of the family's 1533-position model. The record is from RNAcentral.